RNAcentral lists this ribosomal RNA (540 nucleotides) under Cryptosporidium ryanae. RNAcentral describes it as "SSU rRNA". It matches the Rfam family "Eukaryotic small subunit ribosomal RNA", at positions 355 to 933 of the family's 1831-position model. Lineage: Eukaryota; Apicomplexa; Conoidasida; Eucoccidiorida; Cryptosporidiidae. The record is from RNAcentral.
ACGGGUAACGGGGAAUUAGGGUUCGAUUCCGGAGAGGGAGCCUGAGAAACGGCUACCACAUCUAAGGAAGGCAGCAGGCGCGCAAAUUACCCAAUCCUAAUACAGGGAGGUAGUGACAAGAAAUAACAAUACAGAGCCUUACGGUUUUGUAAUUGGAAUGAGUUAAGUAUAAACCCCUUAACAAGUAUCAAUUGGAGGGCAAGUCUGGUGCCAGCAGCCGCGGUAAUUCCAGCUCCAAUAGCGUAUAUUAAAGUUGUUGCAGUUAAAAAGCUCGUAGUUAAUUUUCUGUUAAUUUUUAUAUACAAUGCUACGGUAUUUAUAUAAUAUUAACAUAAUUCAUAUUACUUUUUAGUAUAUGAAACUUUACUUUGAGAAAAUUAGAGUGCUUAAAGCAGGCUAUUGCCUUGAAUACUCCAGCAUGGAAUAAUAUUAAGGAUUUUUAUUCUUCUUAUUGGUUCUAGAAUAAAAAUAAUGAUUAAUAGGGACAGUUGGGGGCAUUUGUAUUUAACAGUCAGAGGUGAAAUUCUUAGAUUUGUUAAA